Molecule: ribosomal RNA, 368 nt
Filed under: uncultured Flavobacteriaceae bacterium
Lineage: Bacteria; Pseudomonadati; Bacteroidota; Flavobacteriia; Flavobacteriales; Flavobacteriaceae
Description: bacterial LSU rRNA
Rfam family: Bacterial large subunit ribosomal RNA
Source: RNAcentral
AAUAAGCUAUUUAAGAGCGUAUGGGGGAUGCCUAGGCUCUCAGAGGCGAAGAAGGGCGUGAUAAGCUGCGAUAAGCUGCGGGGAUUGGCACACACAAUUUGAUCCGCAGAUUUCCGAAUGGGGAAACCCACUAUAUUGAAGAUAUAGUAUCCGUUAAAGGAGGUAAACCCAGGGAAACUGAAACAUCUAAGUACCUGGAGGAAAAGAAAACAAAAGUGAUUCCGUUAGUAGUGGCGAGCGAACGCGGAUUAGCCCAAACCAAGUUGUUUCGGCAAUUUUGGGGUUGUAGGACCACGACAUUGAAUGUUUAAUGACUAGAAUUCUUUGGAAAAAGAAACCAUAGAGGGUGAUAGUCCCGUAUAAGUAAA